Molecule: ribosomal RNA, 432 nt
Filed under: Triticum aestivum (bread wheat)
Lineage: Eukaryota; Viridiplantae; Streptophyta; Magnoliopsida; Poales; Poaceae
Description: partial small subunit ribosomal RNA
Source: RNAcentral
AUGGACGCAUCUACAUCUCCUACGACACCACUUGGACCAAUGACAAGAGCUCGAGCAAAGGCUAUCAAAGAUAAGGUGAACUCGCUCCUCUCCGAACUCCCACUCUCUACACAUGAGACAUGGCUACUACCUCAAGUGGAAACAAUAUGUGUGAUCAGGUACUUGGAGGAAGGCCACGGAACAGCUACAUCCAAUGGAGAAGACGACAAGGACACCGAGUAUGAGGGACAAGAAGAAGAGCUACCAAAGAAGCUCCAGCCACCGGACAACCGGUCAGAACCGGACGUCCGUCGCCUGAAGCUCCAGCCACCAGACGACCGGUCGGGACCGGUCAUCCGACGCCUGAAGCCCCAGCCGGCCCAAGUCCCAGCCAUCGCAAGCUACAGCAAGCGGACGUCCGUCCAGGACUGGACGACUGGCAACACCUCCUAG